Molecule: long non-coding RNA, 24542 nt
Filed under: Gossypium barbadense (sea-island cotton)
Lineage: Eukaryota; Viridiplantae; Streptophyta; Magnoliopsida; Malvales; Malvaceae
Description: long non-coding RNA (GBAR_LNC020401)
Source: RNAcentral
AAAGUUAAUUUGACAAUAUUUGAUGGAAGAAAUUUCAAAACAUGACCGUUCGGAUGUGGCUCAUCUUCUAUCCCACCCACUAAUUUCAGUUUGGAGAGGUGAUAAUAUUGAGAAAGGGGUUCUAAGUCUAGGUUUGAGCUAUCAGAAAAUUUCAAGGACACUGACCUAAGGCGUUGCAAUUUGGUUAGCAAGGUUAGGGUAAGCUUCACAUAUUUUGCUCUGGUAAAUGCUAUUCCUAAACUCUGAAUAUUAGUCCACCUAAGCACCGCAUUAUUUUCAACCGGCUUCCCAUCCACCUCUAUGAACUUCAAAGUUUCAAUAUUUUUUGAAGUGAACCCUUGCCGCCAACGAAAUCCAGAUGAGGAAUAUUUCCUAGACUUUAUUACAAUAUGCCUUAAACGUUCUAACUUAAACACACCAUCUGGAAUUACAAUGUCAUAACAAAACUUGAUGUACAAAGUGUACAGAUUCUUCAACCUGCCAAUAGAUCGCGGCAAAAUCAUUUUGUCAUUGUAGUAUAACUUCAAGUAUCUCAAAUGUUGGAGAUUACCAAUUUCAGUCGACACAUGCCACCACUUAUUGCCCCUUUUUGCAAGAGUCAACACCCUUAAAAAUUUGAAGCUUUUGUAUUUUGAAAUGCAUAAUUCUACCAAUCUCACAUUCUGAGAAAACAACAAAGAGCGUAAUUUUGGAUGCUCUCCCUUCAAAUAAACUUUCGAAUGUCUAGGAUGAAUAGAAAUUCUUCGUAGCAUAGAUUCUGCCAAUGUCACUUCAAGUUCAUACAGUGGUUGUUGAAUAAUUUCCAAGAACUUCUCCUCUCUUGCUUUCUUCGUGCACAAGUCCCUCAAGAGAUCAUGCACUCGACAUGUCUCCACAUUUGUUCCUGUAUAGUCUCGCCUGCUAACUUGAACCAAGCUCCUAUCUAUAAGCUCUUCUAGGAAUUUUUCGCCUAAAUCCUCCAUCAAGAAUUCUUCAUUUUCCGGAAUGAAACCUUCAGCGAUCCAUAAACGAAUGAGUUCCUUUUUCGGUAUCUCCCUAUCUUCUGGAUAAUGACUAAGAUACAAAAAGCAUGGUUUUAAAGGAUAAGGCAAGUCAUUGUAGCUUGAAACCAAAAUUCUGUUCACUGCCCCAUAUUGACGAUCUUGAUGUGGGAGCUCAUUUAAGUGUCCAUGGAUGUUUUUAUGAACCAUCUCCCAUUGAGCCACUGACUGUUUUGUUGCCAGCAAGCAACCCAACACAACAAUUGCUAAAGGCAAGCCUCCACAUUUUUUCACCAUCUCUUUUCCAAGCUUCACAAAUUCUUCUGAGCAGCAUUGAGAAGCCAUUUUGCUCCGUGGGAAUGCUUUCCUACACAAAAGAUUCCAACUUUCAUCAUCUGUAAGAAGUGAGAGCUCCACGGGAGUGCUCCAAGGAUCGGCACGUGAAGCCACAUUUUUUAUUCGUGUUGUGAACAAAAUUUUGCUUCCCUUUCUUCCUCGUGGAAAAGCAGGUUUAAGAAUAUCCCAGUCCUCACUUCUCCAAAUAUCAUCGAGGACCACCAAAUACCGCUUUUCUUUCAAAGCAUCAAAAAGCGUUCUCCUCAGCUCAAUCUCGUCCAUUUUCUCAAUUUUCUCUCUUUCAUCGUUAGAAGGAGAGAGAACUUUUUCAUCGUUAGAAGGAGAGAGAACUUUCUUCAAGACACUAAGCCAAACUUCUCUCGGCUUACAUUGUUGUGAGAUAGAAAACCAAGCCAAGAAAUCAAAAUGGUGUCUCACAUCAACAUGAUUAUAUACUUUUCUGGCAAGAGUAGUCUUACCGAGGCCUCCCAUGCCGACUAUGGAAACCACGGCGUGGGGUCUAUCUUCUUCAAACAUCAACAUGGUCAUGACAUCCUUCGUGCUAACUUCCAAGCUAACAACAUCCUCUUCCUCGACAUGUGAGUAUGUCCUUCUAAACUGUUGCUGCACCUUGAAAAUUGAGCUAGAGCCUUCUCCAUCAUCGGGUAUUUCAAAAGCUGGAAGAUUCUCGGAAAUGUUUUGGAGCUUGGUCUUGAUUGCUUUGACCUGCACCCCGAUUUUGUGCAGAUGAUAAGGUUUGGUGAAAAUGGAGGUGAAUCUCUUGACAAUCCCAUGAAAACCUCGUUGGUGUGCUGCUUUAAGAAUAAAAGAGUCGAUGGCAUCUUCAGCAUCAUAAGCAAGAUCUCUGAUUUCCCACACCCGAUUCUGGAAAUGCGCAUCCUGUUCAAACUUGCUAUCCGCGUCCUUCAAGAAACACUGCAUUCGCGUCAGUUCAGCCCUUAGGCUCUCAACUUGAUCUUUCACAUCUUUGAGGAAAACAGCUUCAUGGAUGAGUAGAUCUGAAAUUCUUUCAACAGCUAAGGACACAAUAGCCUCUUCCAUUUCUCCUGCUGGUCCAGAACAGAUUCCACAAACUGAUCUGCAAGUAUUAGUAGAAUAUUUUUUGUAUUAGUGGAUAAGUAUCUCUCUUUAUCAGAAGUUUUGAAGAGCUGUUUUUGGGUGUGAGGUUGGUAAUUACUGUUCUUUGGACAGCAAAUAGCUGAACUUAUUAUUAUUAUUAUGGAACGUAACUUUUUUUUAAUAAAAUAACAUAUAUUCAAACUUAACAUGUGGAUAACCCUUGUCCUAAGUUAGUUGUAUCCCUUCUAACAUCAAUCUUGCUUUAAUUUUAUACACUUCAUAUUUCUUUAAUGUCAUCGACUAACCACAUAAUUAAUUACUAUUAACAUAUUUAAUGACUCUUCCAAUUGUAAUUGAGUGAGCGCUAGACGAAAUUACACCAUCUGUAUUAAGCUUAACCUAACCACUUUCUAGAACUAACCAUUUUAAAUCAAAAGCCAUAAAAUUCGAAUGGAACAUAGCCAUUGAGGGUGGUGAAUAACUUCUCGUCCAACUGAUACCAUCUACCACAUCCUAAAUAGAGCUAUAACUAUCGAAAAGGACAAACAUAUUCCUAUUUUUCUAUAAUAACCAACAUAUUGUUAUUGAUUAAUAGUAAUGUUUAUAGAAAAAUAUAGAGUAAAUCAAAUUUAUUUUGAUAUCAAUAGAUGUUGAUUUAAUAAUGAAAAAUUCAUAACAAUUAUAAAAUAAUUUCUUCCAAUUAAAAAGCAAUUUUUUUUCUUUUUAUCUUUUUAAGAAAGACAAGGCAAGUGGACACAAAAUUCAUUAAAUUUUAAAAGUUAUAAAAUGAUAAUUGAACUAUUUAAAUAUUUUUAUUUUAGUCACUGAUCUAUUCAAUAAUUUUUAUUUAAGUCAUUAGAUUAUUAGCUUUUUUUUCAAACGUCUGAUUAGUUAGGUUAAAGCAACAAUUCGAUGAAUGGUACAAUGGAUCAAUACUCAUUGACGAGUAGAAUAACAUUUACUAGAUCAAGUCAAUUUGAUGGUUGGUGCCGAAGAACGGAGAACAAAACUAUUUAGAUUUAAAUUCGUAGAUACGUGACAUUUGAAGUUGUUUUAUUAAAAAAAAAAACUUAAACUAUAGACAAGCAGGGGUAGAAGAGUUAGCGGGCAAACAAUGAAGGACAUAUAGUAGUGAUUUUAACAACUUAAUGACUUAAAGAAAACUUUUGAAUAAUUUAGUGACAAUUUUGUAACUUUUUAAUGUUAAACGAUUAAAACGUAAACUUACUAAUAGUUUAAUGGCCUUGAAUGUAGUUUACUCCAAUUAUUUAUUAUUUUUAAUGUGUUGUUUUUUUUUACCUUACCUAAAUUACCCAUAAGUAAACUUCAUAAAUUCCAAAAAGUGGAGGAUAGUACGCGUUUAUUAAUGUUCAAACCCAUGUCCUCCAAUUCUUUUUUGCCCGGCCAAUAUAAAAUUUUAUACAGAACGAAAGGACGACUUGGAAAACAACAGUACAAAGAAUGUCGAAUGAAAAUAAGAGAAAAAAUUGAGAAAAUAAAACAAUCACGAUUUUUUUUGUAAAAUUUAAUGGUAAAAAAAAAGUUUUAUAUAAGAGGAGAAAUUUAUUUAUUUGAGGGAGUUUCAUAUAUAAUUUAAAUUUAGAAUUUCAAAACUCAUAACCGUGAAAAAAGUUGUUCAAUAAUUUUUACUUGGUUUGUUCCUACAACCGUUAUAUUAGAGUUUAUCACGUAUGGAUCCGUGUUUGUUUUUCUUUUAGAGUGGGUUUGGAUAGGCAGUAGAGUGCGGUGCAGCGGUGCAAUACGUUUAGUUUAUUUUUUAUCUCACGUUACAGUGUUGUUACAGUAUCUAAUCUCACCGUCAUCGCUAUUAUUACACUAACCGCAGGUAACCGUACCGCACAUCCAAACUCACCCGUAGUUUAUCACAUAUAAUCGUCUCUUUCCUUUCCCUUUUAUAGAUAGUAAGAGGUGUUUAUUGGUUCGAAUUAAGUUUAUGUUUAUUUAAAAUUAUCCAGUUUAAGAACUUAUUUUGUUAUGUCCAUUUAUAUUUAUAACUGGCAUAUGUUCGUCUAUUUUAAACCUGUAAUUUUUAAAUAUAUAUUAUUCUUAAUUUAAUAUUUAAUAUUUUUAAUAAUAUUUUUAUUAAAAUUGAAAUUUAUACAAUAUUUUUUAUGUUUAAAUAAAAUUUAUACAAAACUCUAAAGUGAGUUGGGUUUAGAGGUGAUCAUGGGUUGGACUACUCGUCCCGGCCUGACAGCUCGUCCGAAAAAUGGGAGAGUUUGGGUAAAAAUAUAGGCCCGAAAUAUGAGUUUGGGAAAAAAAGAGGCCCGUUUAGAAAACGAGCCGAGCCUCGAGUAAAACUUUUUUGGCCGGGCCCGGCUCGAAUUAUAUAUUAAAUAUAUAAUUUUUAUUUUAAUCAAAUAUACCUCUAAUUCUGGUUGGUUGAUUAUAUUUUGCAGGUAUUUAAUGCUAUUUUGGUGUUGUAAAAUUUAAUAUGGGUCGGGUCGGGCCGAGCCUAGCCCAUGAUCACCUCUAGUUGGCUUAGGUUUGAGAGAGUUGAAGCUUAACCAGAAUCAAGUUUUUUUUUUUUUUUUUUACUUUAGUCCAAUUUUUAGAUCUUGUUUUUUUUUUCUUUUGAGAAAUAAAAAAUAGAUGCCAUCAAACUUGAAAAUUGAAUACAACCUCUGCAUGUGUACCACACAUCCUACUCUCCUACAUCUGUUAAUCGGUGGAGUAGUUCUUAAUUAAUUGAAAAGUUGUAUCAUACUCAAUUCUUACGGGACUUUAAUCAUCCGAUCUAAAAGAAACAAAGAAUCAAACCCUAAAAAUCAACUACAUCCUAAUUUUUAGAAAAAAAGAAAAAAAAAUCUAUCAAUUUCUCCUUUAGCAAUCCACUCUUUCAUCUACCACCAUCGUUCCACCUUGAAAUAAUCUAUACUUUUAGUAUCCUUGAUGGAAAUUCUUGUAGAAAAAAAAAUCGUUUUAUUCGGUUUUUUUUUAUAUAUAAGAUUGACCUUUUAGCUUAAAUAAAUAAUUGAACUCAUAAAUAAAGGCUUUUUUUAUAAAAAUAAUUCAAAAAUUUUUAUUAUUUAUGAAAACAAUCCAUUUUUUAUUAAACAUGUAAAUGAUCUAAAACCUAUAGUAAAAGUUGGUGGAGUCAAAGAGUUUGGCGUCACCAACAUACCAUAUCAGCAAACGAGAAAAAAAAUUUAUUUAUUUUGGUAGAACCAUGUAGAACGACAUCACUUAUAUAAAUAUUAUUUUUGAAAAAUUAGAAGAAUUUAAAAAAAAUACAUUUUUUCUAAUGAAGCUAAAUAAUUUAACGCUACAAAUUUCUAAAAUUACCUACAUCAUCUAUUUUUAAAAUAUCGUUAUUUGAUGUCAUUUAUGUAUUUAAUAAAAAUAAAUAAUCAAAUUUUUUUUUAUAAAAAAGCCUUAAUAGAUAAUUUAUCAAUUACCAAAUCAAUCAAACUAUUCAAUCAAACAAGGCAAGUUUUAGGCUCAUUCGGAAAAGCCACAGUCCACUCCCGCAGAGCAGCCAUAGCAUAUUUAAUUAUUCAAAAGCCGUGUGCCGUUCGACUAAAACAAAAUUCCAAAAAUAAAAACAAAAUUGCUUGUAGAAAAAGCUUUAGGUGGACACAAAAUUCCAAAAGGGCCAACAGAUUGUCCACACAUUGGGAAUAAAACUUGUUUGCAAUAUCUACAUUGGCAGCCAUACAAUAAAAUUGUAGGAAACUGACAUUAGUAGGCCAACCCUCAUUUUCAUUUCUUCCAAUUAACAGCUAUUUGAACACCCAACAGUCGUUGCUCGUAAUUGAUAGGAUAAGAUCAAACGAAAAAAUAAUAAUUAUUUGGAUCAAUUAUAUUCAACUUCACUAAAUUAUUAUUAAAUUUAUAUUUUAAUUAUUUAACUUUAAAAAAAUUAUAAGAUAGUUAUUGAAACAUUUAACAGUUUUCAUUUAAGUCAUUAAACUAUUUAAAAUUUUUUGUUUAAGUCAUUGAACUAUUAAGUUCUUUUUUAAAAAAAAAAAGUAGUUUGGCUUUUGAGGAUCAAGCGACAAUUCGAUGAACAGUACAAUGGAUCAAUACUCAUCAACGAGUAAAAGAACAUAUAUUAGACUAAGUCAAUUUGAUGGUCGGUAUUGAAAAACUGUUUGGAUUUUAGUUCGUAGAUACGUGAUAUUUAAAGUUGUUUUAUUAAAAAAUCCUAAAUUGUAGAAGAGUAAGGGCAAAGAGUUUAUUAUUGGUGCAGGUGAUGUCAACAAUAAAUGCCAUAUAACAAAAAUUUUAAUAGUUCAAUAACAUAAAUGAAAACUUUCGAAUAAUUUAAUGACCAUAUUGUAGCUUUUUAAAAUUAAUUGACCAAAAUAGUAAUUUAGUGACCUUUAGUGUUAUUUACUCUAAUUAUUUAUUAUUUUUACUGUGUUAUUUUUUAUACAAUACUUAAAUUACUCAUAAAUAAAUUUCACAAUCCGGAUAUUACACCCUUAUUAAGGUUGAAACCCACACCCCAAAUGUUUUUUGCCCGGUUAAUAAUUUUUUUUUAUCAAAAAUGAAAGGACCACUUAGAAAAUAUAGUAUAAAGAAUGUUGAAAGAAAAUAAGAGAAAAUAGACUAGUACAAUAAACAAUAAAUAAAUUUCUAAGCUUUAAAUAUAAAUCUUUCCUUAAAAUCCAUCAACUUAAUAAAUCGACGAAGAAUCAAUUAAUGUUGAGCUUCUUUGCAGGCUUGCAUUUGGAGAUGAAAGAAAGCUCCAACCCUACUAGCAACAACAUGAAAUUGGUAUAUCAUCUUUAAUCUAUACUAAUAAUAAUGAUAAAAAAGAACUUAAAAUAGAAAUUAUGAAAUGAUACUGCAAGUUUCUUUUUAGAAAAAAACGAAAAAGAAGUAGAGAAGUGACUAUUAUUUUAGAGAAAUAAAUUUCUAAUGCACCUAUUUAGAUAUAAGCAAAUUACUGUAUUUGGAUAGAGGGAAUGUGGCCUACUUCAUAGAAAUCCUCUCCUCUUUCAUCUAUCACUUUUAUUAUUUCUUUCAAUGACUAUUAACAUUGACCAAUUCCAAUCUUCAAAGGCAUGGCAUUGCACUCCUUCAACCCUGGUAGAAAUCUAAUUUCAAGAGCAUCAAGUUGAGGAAACCCAUUGGCAAAGCAUAUAAUCUUACUCUCAUCAUAUGUUAAACUCUCUAACUUCAGAAUCCUCAAACAAGGUAACUUUUCCAACACACCCAUUGGAUCAUGGAUCAUCAUAGAGUCAUCUAAAGUUAACUUGACAAUACUUGACGGAAGAAAUUCCAAAACAUGAUGGCUCUGAUGUGGAUCUUCUUUUAUAUGCCCUAUUAACUUCAAUUUGGAGAGGUGACGACACUAAUAAAGAGGUUCCAAUAUGAAGAAUGAGUUGACUUGUCAUGGUUCAUAUAGUCAAGCAAACACAUGUACAAUGACCCAAGGCGAUCCAAUAUGAUUAGCAACAGAAAGAUAGACUUAAUAUCUUUUGAACUCUUAAAUGUUAUUCCUAAACAUUGAAUACGAGUCAACCUAAGUGCCUCAUUAUUUUCAAUAAACUUCUUAUUUACCAUCAUGCGCUUCAAAGUUUCAAUAUUUUUUUGAAGAAAAGCUUUGGCACAGGAGAAAACAACUUUUUUAACAUGGGUAUGUAUACCAUUUCAUCACAAAUUGCCUUAAACAUUCCAACUUGAAUACUACAUUUGGAAUUACAGAGUCAUAAUGGCAUUAGAGGUACAAAGUGUGUAAAUUCUUCAACUAAUUUCCAAUAGCCCAUGGCAAGAGUAUUUUGAGUUUGCAUCUUAAGCUCAAAUGAUGGAGAUUACCAAUUUCACUUGACACAUGCAACUCCUCAACAUUCCUCGUAAGUUUCAAGAAAAGAAAAACUAACGUGAAAUUGAGAAAUUGAAAGGGAAAGUUUGAAACAAAAAGAAUCUACAGAGGUAGAAAAAAACUAGCAGCAAAUGUGAAAACAAAAGAAGAGUGGAAAAGAUGGGAAAGUGGGGAAGUUGGACAUGGGAUGGAGAAACGUGGGAGAAUUUUGGAGAAAUAUUUUUAAUUAAUUUUUUCUUAAAAAAAUAUUAUCCUAUAACCAACAUAAUUUUUUUGAUAACCUAUCUAUUUAUUCAUAAUUCAAAUUUAACUAAACCGGGAGCUCCAAAAAUAAUUUUUGCUUUACAGGGAUUCAAACACGAGAUUUCUAAGCAAGUUGAAACUUUAUUAUUAAACUACUAAAUUCAUUCUUAUUAAUAAUUAAGCAAAAAUAACAUAUUAGAAUAUAGGAAGUUGUUAAUUAGUUAUGAGUCUGGUAAGGUUGUUGUGAAGUAUAGACUGAAUAUUGACCCAAAUGCAAAUGGGGUUCCGUCGUCUAAUUUUGUUCAAGUUGAUCAAAGUGAUCCCGGCUCACCUGAACCGAUUGGCGUUGAUAGAGUUUUACGAUUUACCAAACCGCGUGCUCAGGUUUGACUGGGUUCGAACCAUGUAUUGGGCUUCCUCGGCUAGGGGACUUACAUGCAUCUGAGUAUUCCGAUCCUUCAGAAUCUGGCUCUCAUGUCAAUACUGCUCAACUUGGGUUUGGUACUAGUAAAGAUGACCCAUACGUUCCAGUGCAAGGUGGCACCACAACUUGGUAUCCUGACUCGGGAGCUAGUCAUCAUGUCUGUCGUGAUGUGUCAGCUUUACAUGAUGUCACACCAUAUUCAGGUACGUCAUCUCUUUUAAUGGGUGAUGGUACUCCUGCGGUAAUUUCGUCAAUUGGUACUGCUAUUUUACAUACUCAAUAUAAGUCGUUGCGAUUAUCAAAUGUCUUAUGUGUGCCAAGUAUACGGAAAAACCUCUUAUCCGUCUCACAGUUUGCUCGUGAUAAUGGUGUGUUUUUUUAGUUUCAUCCUAACCAUUGAGUUAUUAAGGAUACGGUGACUCGGGAGACAUUGCUGACGGGCCGCAUUCAUGAUGGACUUUAUCACUUUUCUGUGCCAGUGGGGUCUACUCCGUCUACGGUUGCUCCAUUUGUUGCUCAUUCGCAAGUUCCACAGUAGUUUCAAAUAAUAAUGUGUUUGCUUUAUGGCAUAAUCGUUUAGGCCACCCAUCAACUUCUGUGGUCAAAACAGUUUUAAAUAAAUGUAAUGUUGCUUCAAGUAAAAAUAGUUUGGAUGGUAUAUGUACUGCAUGUCAAAAAGGCAGGUCACAUAAGUUGCCCUUCUCCCCUUCGACUACUAGCUAUCGUCCUUUUGAGUUGGUUGUGUCUGAUCUUUGGGGUCCUGCACCUGUUGCAUGUGGUGAUAAAAGAUAUUAUGUUUCAUUUAUUGAUAUGAGUACUCGGUUUACUUGGGUUUAUCUUUUACGUCAAAAAGCUCAAGCACUAGAAUGCUUUACUCAGUUUCAACAGUUAAUUAAGACACAGUUUGGCAAGUCUAUUAAGCAGUUCCAGAGCGAUUGGGGAGGCGAAUACCGUGGUUUUACGUCUGUCUUAGAAUCUCAAGGAAUCAUACAUCGACUAACGUGUCCGUAUACUUCAGAACAAAAUGGAGUGGCUGAGCGUAAGCAUCGCCACAUUGUUGAAGUAGGUAUUACAUUGUUGGCUCACGAAAGUUUGCCUCUGGAAUACUGGGGGUAUGCGUUUUGCUGUGCAGUUCAUCUUAUAAAUCGACUUCCUACUGUUGUACUUCAAGACAGUUCUCCGUUUAAGGCACUAUAUGGACAUGAUCUGACCUAUGAUCAUCUUCGAGUGUUUGGCUGCUGUUGUUAUCCGUACUUACGUCCGUUUGUAAGGAAUAAAUUGGACUUUCGGUCUCAGCCGUCUACAUUGUUGGGAUACAGUCCUCGUCACAAGGGGUAUCAAUGUCUUUUACCAGAUGGUAAGGUUAUAAUAUCAAGGCAUGUGGUAUUUGAUGAACAGAGAUUUCUGUUUGCUGAGACUAUUCCAGACAAGUCUAUGUUGACGACCACUCAGACUAGUUCGACUACUGUUCCUUUCGUGUGGCCGUCUUAUUCCUCAACUCUUGAGCCUUGCAUGAUGACACAGUCUUUACAAGGGUUGCAAUCUCCGUCUGCUGAUCCUGCAUUAGGUGUUAAUUUAGAGCAGUCUCAGUCUCGUGAUUCUUCAGCUGAUAUCGGGACUGGGUCGGGUAAUCUCCCAGUUCAUGGUUCGUCAGCUAAUGAUGGGACUGAAUUGAGUGAUCCUCCAGCAGUGCAUGGCUCGGGAUCAUCAAGUGAUAAUUCUCAUUCUACUAUGAGAAUGUCUGCAGGUGUUUGAUCGGCAUCUGAUAGUCAGAUUAGUAGGCCACCUAUGGGUAAUACUUACCCAAUGGUCACUCGAGCUAAAGCGGGGGUUUACAAACCUAAGGUUUUAAAUGUUGAAGCUGUUGAACCGACUACGAUUGAAGAAGCUCUGGCUACUGUUGAGUGGCGCGAUGCUGCGCAAGCUGAGUAUGAUGCUCUUAUGUGUAAUUCCACAUGGGAGCUUGUUCCCACUCCGUCUAAUCGUAAGAUCAUUGGGUGCAAAUGGUUGUUCAGAAUCAAGAAGAAUUCUGAUGGUACUAUUGCUCGACAUAAGGCUCGUUUAGUCGCAAAAGGAUGCUCCUAAGUUCUAGGUUGUGACUUUAAGGAAACGUUUAGUCCAGUGGUCAAACCGGCUACUAUCAGAGUUAUUUUCUCUAUUGCUGUGUCUAAGUGGUGGUUGCUUCGGCAAGUUGAUGUGAAUAAUGCGUUUCUAAAUGGCGAUCUGGACACUGAAGUUUUUUUGCAUCAACCUCCUGGUUAUGUUCAAUAUGACUCACAUGGUAGACCUUUGGUGUGCCGUCUGAAGAAAGCGUUGUAUGGUCUUCGUCAGGCUCCUCGUGCCUGGUUUGAGAAGUUAAAAGGAUUUCUACUCUCUGUGGGGUUUGUGGUAUCAAAGUCUGAUGCUUCUUUGUUUGUUCGAGUGGUAUCAGCUUCAACAUUGUAUGUUUUGGUAUACGUUGAUGAUAUCAUUAUUACUGGUGAUGUGCCUUCUGUUAUAGAGUGGUUUGCUAAGUUGCUGAAUAAUAAGUUCUCACUUAAGGACAUGGGUGAUCUCCAUUAUUUUCUUGGGAUAGAGGUUACUCGUUCUUCCUCCGGUUGUCUUCAUCUAUGUCAGAAGAAGUAUAUUCGUGAUAUUCUCAUAAGGUGCUCGAUGGAAAAUGCGAAGAGUGUUCACACUCCGAUGAUUAGUUCCUCUAUCUUAACUAGAGAUGGUGGGGAACGUUUGGAGGAUCCAACUGAAUAUAGGAGUCUUGCAGGAGCAUUACAGUAUGUUACUCUUACGCGGCCUGACGUUGCGUAUGCUGUAAAUCGAAUAUGUCAGUUUAUGCAUUGUCCCACUUCCAUACAUAUGACCGCUCUGAAGCGGAUUUUGAGGUAUCUAGGUGGAACGAUUGAUUUUGGGAUUGUAUUUCGUCCGUCUACCUUUUUGUCAUUAGUUGGGUAUGCUGAUGCAAACUGGGGUUUAGAUUUUGAUGACCGGAGAUCUACUACUAGAUACUGUGUGUAUUUUGGACAUUCUCCUGUCUCGUGGUGUACGAAAAAAUAGCAGGUUGUUGCUUGGUCUACUGCUGAGGCAGAGUACCGAAGUCUUGCUGCAGUUACUAGUGAGGUUACGUGGCUUUUAUCGUUACUUCAAGAGUUGCAUGUUCAGUCUACUAGCAUUCCUGAUAUUUGGUGUGAUAGUUCUGGGGCGGUUGCAGUUGCUGCUAAUCCUGUUCUUCAUUCCAAGUUUAAGCACGUUGAGUUAGAUUUAUUUUUCGUUCGUGAAAAAGUAGCUAAUGGUAUUAUUGCUGUUGGCGAGGUUCUAGCUUGUGAUCAAGUUGUUGAUGUUCUUACUAAACCGCUUUCACUUUCGAAUUUUACUCGAUUUCGGAGUUUUCUACAGGUGUUACCUGUGGAGAAGAUGGAUGAAUAUUAGAAUAUAGGAAGUUGUUAAUUAGUUAUGAGUCUGGUAAGGUUGUUGUGAAGUUUAGACUAGUCAACAAAGUCUAUAAAUACUGUAAGUUGAGAAUUCAGAAGUAAGCAAUUUUGAAUACAAGAGAAAGAAAUUCAUUUUAUCCUCUCUUUUAUUUCUGUUUGGCUAGUUCUUUCAUAACAUAUAAUCGAAAUAUUCAAGGAUUGGGGACGGAACAAAAAAUAACAAAAAAUUUUUAAAAAAAAGAUUUGCCGUAACUUCUGUUUCAUCAGUAGGCUUGUCUCAUAUAUAUCAGAGUAAAACUGCUUACAAAUGUGAGGCUAAGAUUUUUACGUUUCAGAAACAUGUAUAUAUAAUGCUUCUUGGUUGGUCGAAAAUGAAGCAUAUAACACGGUUAUCUUAGUACAUAGAGUUCCCUGAAUUUACUACAUUUUGAUUUGUGUAACCUUAUUAAAACAAGUCUUCAAUAUCAGUUGCUACUUUGUUGUUAUUGUUUAUAGGAAGAAUAAAUUAUGUGAAACUCAACUUUCUUAAGCACACUAACUUUUGUGAAUUUAGAUUAAAAGGGAGUUUAGUUCACAAAAUAUUUGAUUAACUUGACAAUUAGUGCAUUACUAGAUAUGUUAAAGUACCGCGUUUGGUUCAAGGUAAAAGUUGAAAUAAUUCUAGACUCAAAGAUAUUUAAUUAUCGGUUUGUUCUUAGUAUAUAGUAAAUGAGUAAAAAGUUUUGAUUAAAAAAAACUUUAUGGAAUUAUUAAUAUAAUUGAUUAAACAGUUAAAAAUUUUAAAAUGAUUAAUGUCGACUCUUUUUAUAAAAUAUUCGGGUGGGGAUUGGUAUAAAUCUGUUAAAAAAAUUUAAUCAUCAUUCCACAUAAGUCAAGGUUAAUAUAAAUCUGUUUUAUAUAUUUUGUUAUAAGAAAACGCACAUAUUUUUGUUAUGUCAUAUAAAUAUACAUGUUAUAUGUUUUGAUUAACAUUGUAUCAUCUAAUUUUUAAUUGAAAUAGUGAGUUGUAAAUUUAAAUCGGUUAUUUUACUAUUUAAAUAAUGAAUUUAACCAUUUAACAUCUAAUGAGUUAUUUAGAAUUUCUUUCUUCGGUUUAAAUUGAUUAAUUUCAAUUAAAUAGAUGCAAAUGAAGAACCAAUUAAUAAGAAGAUAAUUUUUUAAAAAAAUAAGCAAAUUGGGAGGCCGGAAACGAGCCUUAGAUAUAUAGCAAACAAUCACUUCAUUCAAAGCUCAUGGUAUAUAGCAAUCCAAUUCUUAUAAAAAUACAUAUACACACUUAAUGAAAUUAGAUAUCUCGGGAAAGUGCAUUCUAGUGCUGAUUAGAUAACCUGCAUCAAGAAGAAAAAUGGUAUGUACAUAUCAUCAUCUCUUAUGUAUAAUAAUUAAAAAUAUGAAAUAAUAAAAUGAUACUAAAAUUUUAGUUUUUCUAGAAAAUGAUUCGAAAUUCUUAUUUUUUUAUAUUUUAAUUACAAUUUUUAUGGUAAUUAAAGAUAUAUUCAUCUAUUGUAUUAUUUUAUCAAUAUUAUAUUAAUCUCUAACUCUAUGGGUGAAAAAGAAAAGAAAAAAGAAUGUAAAAAUUAUUAUUUUAUAGAAAUAAAUACCUCACCUGAUGUUGGCUCCUAUUAUUUUGGCAUCAAAAAAUGUCGGAUGAAGGGAAUGUGGCGCACUUUAUAGAAUUCCUCUCCUUCUCUUCCAUCUAUCACUUUAAUCCUUUCUUUCAAUGACGAAGAUAUUCCUAUUAAAUUCAAUUUUUGGAGAGUAGUCAUGUAUCUCAAUCCUUCUGGAAGCAUCCUUAAACUCUCAACAUUGGCCAACGUCAAUUCUCGAAGGCAUGGCAUUGCACCUUCUUCUAUUUCCCACUCCUCCAACAUAAUUAACAUAAUUAAAAGAUAAUCAAGUUUAGGAAAUCCAUUUGCAGAGCACACCAUUUUACUCCCAAUAUAUGCUCCCUUCAAAAAGAGAAUCCUCAAAUGACAUAGCUUUUCUAAUACCGCCAUUGGAUCUUGUCUCAGCCCACAGUCAAACAAAGUUAAUUUGACAAUAUUUAAUGGAAGAAAUUUCAAAACAUGACCGUUCGGAUGUGGCUCUUCUUUUAUCGGACCCAGUAAUUUCAGUUUGGAGAGGUGAUAAUAUUGAGAAAGGGGUUCUAAGUCUAGGUGUGAGCAAUAAAAAAAACAUAAGGACACUGACCUAAGGCGUUGCAAUUUGGCUAGCAAGAUUAGGGUAGGCUUCACAUAUUCUGCUCUGGUAAAUUCUAUUCCUAAACUCUGAAUAUUAGUCCACCUAAGCACCGCAUUAUUUUCAGCCGCCUUCUCAUCCACCACUAUGAACUUCAAAGUUUCAAUAUUUUUUGAAGUGAACCCUUGCCGCCAACGAAAUCCAUCUACGUGGAAUUUCCCAACCGAUUUUAUUACAAUAUGCCUUAAACGUUCUAACUUAAACACACCAUCUGGAAUUACAAUGUCAUCACAAAACUUGAUGUAUAAAGUGUACAGAUUCUUCAACCUGCCAAUAGAUCGCGGCAAAAUCACUUUGUUAUUGUAGUAAAACUUCAAGUAUCUCAAAUGUUGGAGAUUACCAAUUUCAGUCGACACAUGCCACGGCUGAUUGCAGUCGCUCCUUUUUGCAAGAGUCAACACCCUUAAAAAUUUGAAGCUUUUGUAUUUUGAAAUGCACAAUUCUACCAAUAUCUCAGAAUGAGAAAACAACAAAGAGCGUAAUUUUGGAUGCUUUCCCUUCAAAUAAACUUUCGAUUCACUAGGAUGAGUAGAAAUUCUUCGUAGCAUAGAUUCUGCCAAUGUCACUUCAAGUUCAUGCAGUGGUUGUUGAAUAAUUUCCAAGAACUUCUCCUCUCUUGCUUUCUUCAUGCAAAAGUCCCUCAAGAGAUCAUGCACUCGACAUGUCUCCACAUUUGUUCCUGUAUAGUCUCGCGUGCUAACUUGAACCAAGCUCCUAUCUAUAAGCUCUUCUAGGAAUUUUUCGCCUAAAUCCUCCAUCAAGAAUUCUUCGUUUUCCGGAAUGAAACCUUCAGCGAUCCAUAAACGAAUGAGUUCUUUUUUCGGUAUCUCCCAAUCUUCUGGAUAAUGACUAAGAUACAAAAAGCAGGGUUUUAAAGGAUAAGGCAAGUCAUUGUAGCUUGAAACCAAAAUUCGGUUCACUGCACCAUAUUGACGAUCUUGGUGUGGGAGCUCAUUUAAGUGUCCAUGGAUGUUUUUAUGAACCAUCUCCCAUUGAGCCACGGACUGUUUUGUUGCCAGCAAGCAACCCAACACAACAAUUGCUAAAGGCAAGCCUCCACAUUUUUUCACCAUGUCUUUUCCAAGCUUCACAAAUUCUUCUGAGCAGCAUUGAGAACCCAUUUUGCUCCGUGGGAAUGCUUUCUUACACAAAAGAUUCCAACUUUCAUCAUCCGUAAGAAAUGAGAGCUCGAUGGGAGUGUUGCAAGAAUCGGCUCGUGAAGCCACAUUCCUGUUGCGUGUUGUGAACAAUAUUUUGCUUCCCUUUCUUCCUCGUGGAAAAGCAGGUUUAAGAAUAUCCCAGUCCUCGCUUCUCCAAAUAUCAUCGAGGACCACCAAAUACCGCUUUUCUUUCAAAGCAUCAAAAAGCGUUCUCGUCAGCUCAAUCUCGUCCAUUUUCUUAAUUUUCUCUCUAUCAUUGUUAGAAGGAGAGAGAAAUUUCUUCAAGACACUAAGCAAAACCUCUCUCGGCUUACAUUGUUGAGAGAUAGAAAACCAAGCCAAGAAAUCAAAAUGGCGUCUCACAUCAACAUGAUUAUAUACUUUUCUGGCAAGAGUAGUCUUACCGAGGCCCCCCAUGCCGACUAUGGAAACUACGGCGUGGGGUCUAUCUUCUUCAGUCAUCAAUUUGGUCAUGACAUCCUUGGUGCUAACCUCCAAGCUAACAACGUCCUCUUCCUCGACAUGUGAGUAUGCCCUUCUUAACCGUUGCUGCACCUUGAAAAUUGAGCUAGAGCCUUCUCCAUCACCGGGUAUCUCAAAAGCUGGAAGAUUCUCGGAAAUGUUUUGGAGCUCGGUCUUGAUUGCUUUGAGCUGCACCCCGAUUUUGUGCAGAUGAUAAGGUUUGGUGAAAAUGGAGGUGAAUCUCUUGACAAUCCCAUGAGAAUCUCGUUGAUAUGCUGCUUUAAGAAUAAAAGAGUCGAUGACAUCUUCAGCAUCAUAAGCAAGAUCUCUGAUUUCCGACACCCGAUUCUGGAAACGCGCAUCUUGUUCAAGAUUGCGAUCCGCGUCCUUCAAGAAACACUGCAUUCGCUUCAGUUCAGCCCUUAGACUCUCAACUUGAUCUUUCACAUCUUUGAGGAAAACAGCUUCAUGGAUGAGUAAAUCUGAAAUUCUUUCAACAGCUAAGGACACAAUAGCCUCUUCCAUUUCUCCUGCUGGUCCAGAACAGAUUCCACAAACUGAACUGCAAGUAUUAGUAGAAUAUUUUAUGUAUUAGUGGAGAAGUAUUUCUCUUUAUCAGAAGUUUUGAAGAGCUGUUUUUGGGGGUGAGGUUGGUAAUUAACUUAUUAUUAUUAUUAUGGAACGUAACUUUUUUUUAAAUAAAAUAACAUAUAUUAUCGAUAACCCUUGUUCUAAGUUGGUCAAAGUCCUUCUAACAUCGAUCUUGCUUCAAUUUUAAGUACUUCAUAUUUUCUUAAUGUCAUUGACUAACCACAUAACUAAUUACUAUUAGCAUCUUUAAUGAUUUCUUCAAUUACAACCGAAAUUGCACCAUCUGUAUUAAGCUUAACUAAAUCACUUUUUGAAGCUAAUCAUUUUGAAUCAAAAGCCAUAGAAUUCGAAUGGAACAUAGUCAUUGAGGGUGACGAAUAACUUCUCGUCUAACUAAUACCUGUAUCUACCUCAUCCUGAACAGAGCUAUGACUAUCAAAAAGUACAAACAUAUCCCUAUUUUUUUAUAAUAACCAACAUAUUUUUAUUGCUUAAUAGUAAUGUUUAUAUAUAAAAUAUAGAGUAAAUCAAAUUUAUUUUGCUAUCAAUAGAUGUUGAUUUAAUAAUGAAAAAUUCAUAACAAUUAUAAAAUAAUUUCUUCCAAUUAAAAAGCAAUUUUUAAAAAGGACUAAAAGAAAACUCGCUUGUUUUUUUUUUAUUCUUUUUAAGAAAGAAAAGGUUAGGUGUACACAAAAUUCCAAAAGCACAAUAGAUUUUCCACGUUGAAAACAAAAGCUGCUUUCAAUUUCCACAUUGGAUUCCACACAAAAUCGAUAAAGUAAAAUGGCAUGUGAAGAAAAAUUAUAAUCACUCACGUUAGUAGGCCAACCCUCAUAACAGUCAUUUCUCAUAACUGAUCUUAUAAGAGUGAGUUUAGAUGGGCGGUGCGUCUAUUUAUUAUUAGUGUAAAAAUAACGGUGGCGAUGAGAUUAAAUACUAUAGCAACAUUAUAGCGUGAGACAAAAAGUAGGUCAAACGCACCGUACCGCACCUAAUCGCCCAUCCAAACCCACCUUAAGACAAAAAAAAAGGGUUAAUUACUCGGGUAAAUUAUACUUAAGGUCACUAAAUUGUUAAUAAAUUUAUGUUUUGAUCAUUUAACUUUAAAAGUUUUAAAAUGAUUAUUGAACUAUUUGAAAGUUUUUAUUUUAGUCACUGAUCUAUUCAACAAUUUUAUUUAAGUCAUUAAACUAUUAGUUUUUUUUAAAAGUCUGAUUAGCUAGGUUAAAGUGACAAUUCGAUGAAUAGUACAAUAGAUCAGUACUUAUCCACGAGUAGAAUAACAUAUACUAGAUCAAGUCAAUUUGAUAGUUGGUGCCGAAGAACGGAAAGCAAAACUAUUUAAAUUUGGAUUCGUAGAUACGUGACAUUUGAAAUUGUUUUAUUAAAAAAAAACUUAAACUAUAGACAAGCAGGGGUAGAAGAGUUAGCGGGCAAACAAUGAAGGACAUAUAGUAGUGAUUUUAACAACUUAAUGACUUAAAGAAAACUUUUGAAUAAUUUAGUGACAAUUUUGUAACUUUUUAAUGUUAAAUGACUAAAACGUAAACUUACUAGUAGUUUAAUGACCUUGAAUGUAGUUUACUCCAAUUAUUUAUUAUUUUUACUGUGUUGUUUUUUAUGCAUUACCUAAAUUACCCAUCAAUAAACUUCACAAUUCCAAAAAGUGAAGGAUAGUACGCGUUUAUUAACGUUCAAACCCAUGUCCUUCAAUUCUUUUUUGCCCGGCCAAUAUAAAAUUUUAUCCAGAACGAAAGGACGACUUGGAAAACAACAGUACAAAGAAUGUUGAGAGAAAAUAACACAAUCACGAAUUUUUUUUAAUUUUAAUGGUGAAAAAGAGGGUUUUAAGAAGAGAAAUUUAUUUAUUUGAGGGAGUUCCAUAUAUAAUUUAAAUUUAGAAUUUCAAAAUUCAUAACAACUCAAUCUUAUCCGUGAAAAAAAAGUUGUGCAAUAAUUUUUACUUGGUUUGUUCCUACAAUAGUUAUAUUAGAGUUUAUCACGUAUGGAUCUGUGUUUGUUCUUCUUUUAGGGUGAGUUUAGAUGGACAGUAAAGUGCGGUGUAGCGGUGCAAUACGUUUAGUUUUUUUUUUUCUCACGUUAUAGUCUCGCUACAGUAUCUAAUCUCACUGCCAUUGCUAUUAUUACACUAACCGCAGGUAAAUGCACCGCCCAUCCAAACUCACCCUUAGUUUAUCACAUAUGCUCGUCCCUUUCCUUUCCCUUUUAUAGAUAGUACGAGGUGUUAUUGGUUCGAAUUGAGUUUAUAUUUAUUUAAAAUUGAUCCAGUUUAAAAACUUAUUUGCAUAUGUUAGUCUAUUUUAAACCUGUAAUUUUUAAAUAUAUAUUAUUCUUAAUUUAAUAUUUAAUAUUUCUAAUAAUAUUUUUUAUUAAAAUUGAAAUUUAUCAAUAUUUUUAUGUUUAAAUAAAAUUUAUAUAAAAGUCUAAAGUGGGUUGGGUUUAGAGGUGAUCAUGGGUUGGGCUACCCGGCCCGGCCCGAAGGUCUGCUCGAAAAAUAGGAGGGUUCGAGUAAAAAUAUAGGCCCGAAAUAUGAGUUUGGGCAAAAAAAGAGGCCCGUUUAGAAAACGGGUCAGGCCUCAGGUAAAACUAUUUUGGCCCGGGCCCGAAUCAUAUAUUAAAUAUAUAUAUAUUUUUAUUUUUAAUCAAAAAUACCUCUAAUUCUGGUUGGUUGAUUAUAUUUUGCAGGUUUUUGAUCUAUUUUGGUGUUGUAAAAUUUAAUAUGGGUUGGGCCAGGCCCGGUCCAUGAUCACCUCUAGUUAGGUUAGGUUUGAGAAAGUUGAAGCUUAACCAGAAUCUUUUUUUUUUUACUUUAGUCCAUUUUUCAGAUCUUAUUUUUUUUUUCUUUUGAGAAAUAAAAAAUAGAUGCCAUUAAACUUGAAAAUUAGAUACAACCUCUGCAUGGGUACCACUCAUCCUACUCUCCUACAUCCGUUAAUCGAUGGAGUAGUUCUUAAUUAAUGCAAAAGUUGCCUAAAAGAAACAAAGAGAAUAUAAAAGAAUCAAACCCUAAAAAUCAACUACAUGCUAAUUUUUAGAAAAAAAAAAACCUAUCAAUUUCUCCUUUAGCAAUCCACUCUUUCAUCUACCACAAUUGUGCCACCUUGAAAUGAUCUAUACUUUUAGUAUCCUUGAUGGAAAUUCUUGUAGAGAAAAGAAAUCGUUUUAUUCGUUUUUUUAUAUAUAAGAUGGACCUUUGAGCUUAAAUAAAUAAUUGAGAGGCUUUUUUUUAUAAAAAUAAUUCAAAGAUUUUGGUUAUUUAUGAAAUAAUUCAUUUUUUUAUUAAAUAUGUAAAUGAUAUAAAACCUACAGUAAAAGUUGGUGGAGUCAAAGAGUUUGGCGUCACCAACAUACCACGUCAGCAAUCGGGAUAAAAAAAUUUAUUUUUUUAGUAGAACCAUGUAGAGUAACAUCACCUGUAUAAAUACUAAAAAAAUACCGCUAUGUUUGAAAAAUUGGGGUACCUUAAAAGAAAAAACUUUUUUUCUGGUGAAGCUAAAUAAUUUUACGCUACCAAUUUCUAAAAUUACCUGCGUCAUCCAUUUUUAAAAUGUAGUUAUAUAUUUUAUGUCAUUUAUGUAUUUAAUAAAAAUAAGUAAUCGAAUUUUUUUUGAUUAUUUUUAUAAAAAAAGCCUUAAUAGAUAAUUCAUCAAUUACCCAAUCAAUCAAACUAUUAAUCAAACAAGACAGGUUUUAGCUUCACUCGGAAAAGCCACAGUCCACUCCCGUAGAGCAGCCAAAACAUAUUUAAUUAUUCAAAAGCCGUGUGCCGUUCGACUAAAACAAAAUUCCAAAUCAAGAAGCAAUUUUUUAAAAUAAAAACAAAAUUGCUUUUAGAAAAAGCUUUAGGUGGACACAAAAUUCCAAAAGCGCCAACACAUUUUCCACACAUUGGGAAUAAAACUUGUUUGCAAUUCAUAAUUGAUAGGAUACGACCAAAAGAAAAUAAAGAUAAUUAUUUGGAUAAAUUAUACUCAACCUCACUAAACUAUUAACAAAUUUAUAUUUUAAUUAUUUAACUUUAAAAAAUUAUAAGAUAAUUAUUAAACUAUUCAAUAGUUUUUAUUUAAGUCAUUGAACUAUUAAGGUUUUUUUUUAAAAAGUAGUUUGACUAGCUAGGUUCAAGCAACAAUUCAAUGAACAGUACAAUAGAUCAAUACUCAUUAACGAGUAUGUCGAAACCGCCUUUUCGAAAAUAAAAAUUUAGUUGUCGACUUUAAAAAUAAAAACUGAAGUUGCCACCGAUCCUUGAUUGAGGUGCGAUCGGUUCACCUUAAAAACAAUUUCGGCCUGCGAAAUUUGAGAAAACAAGUUCGGGAGUCAGUUACGCACGAGGAAGAGUUAGCACCCUUGUAACGCCCAAAAUCGGUACCAAAUUGAUUAUUUAAUAUCUUGGUGUCGAAAAUUUAAAAAGAUUUUAAAAUCAACUCAAAUGAUGAAAUUUGAAAAAGGAUAAUCAAUUGUUCAAGUCAUGUAAAGAAAUCGAGUCCCAAUACGUUAGGGUACAAUUCCUCAUAAUCCCCGAACUUUGAAUAUCACUUUUAUUUUAUGUAAAAAUCUUCAUUUUGAGAAAGUAAUAUGUCACACCCAAUACGUUAGGACACAACAAAUUAAGUUCCCGAAAAUAAUUUUUUAUACUCAUGCAUUUUGAAUAAAGAAUAUUCUCAGCUAUUUAAGAUAAACAAAGAAAAUCGGAACCCAAUACGUUAGGACUCAAUUUCCUAGAAAAUCCCAAACUUUGAAUAUUCCUUUAUUUAGGAAAAAAAACUUUGAAUCACGGGUAAAACUUUGAUGUAUUGUCAAAUCCAAAAUAUAUUUUCUAAAGGAUAUGUUAAAAAGUUGAUGUACAAUAUGAAACAAAACUUUAGUUUAAAAACAUAUGUGAAUAAAUAUCUGCAAAAUAUAUACAUACAAGUACAAUAUACAAGUAAAUUUGCAAAUGUGUGUACACAUAUAUUUAACACACAUAUACAAGGAUACCUAUAAAAAAUGGAAUGGAAUAUAUCAAUCAAAGACUAAUAAAAAAAUGCAUGUAUGUAUUUAAAAAUCGAAAAUAAACAAAAAGUAUGUAUAUGUAUAUGUAUAUAUAUUUACAAAAUAAAAAUGUAUAAGUAUAUAUGUGUUGGAAAAUCAUGAAAAUACGUAUAUGUAUAUUAAAACACUUAUAUAUAUAUAUGUAUAAUAAGUAUAUAAAUAAUGGGAUAUGUAUAGGAUAAUAUAUAUUUAUAAAAAAUGUGUAUUUUGAAUCGUAAAAUAUGGGAAACACGUGCAUUUUGAAAGGGAACGUUUGAAACAAAAAGAAUCAACAGAGGUAGAAAAAAACUAGCAGCAACAAAACUAAUGUGAAAACAAAAGAAGAGUGGAAAAGAUGGGAAAGUGGGGAAGUUGGACAUAUGGGAUGGAGAGACGUGGGAGAAUUUUGGAGAAAUAUUUUUAAUUAAUUUUUUCUUAAAAAAAUAUUAUCCUAACCAACAUAAUUUUUUUGAUAACCUAUCAAUUUAUUCAUAAUUCGAAUUUAACUAAACCGCUAACACAUGGGCAGCACACUUAGGGAGUUCCAAAAUUAAUUUUUGCUUUACAGGGAUUCAAACACGAGAUCUCUAAGCAAGCUGAAACUUUAUUAUUAAACUAGUAAAUUCAUUCUUAUUAAUAAUUAAGCAAAAAAUAUAUAUAAUUUAAAUAUUCAAGGAUAGGGGAUGGAACAAAAAUAAAAAAUUAAAAAAAAAAAGAUUUGCCUUAACUUUUGUUUCAUCAGUAGGCUUGUCUCAUAUCAGAGGAAAACUGCUUACAAAUGUGAGGCUAAGAUUUUUACGUUUCAGAAACAUGUAUAUAAAUGCUUCUCGGUUGGUCGAAAAUGAAGCAUAUAACACGGUUAUCUUAGUACAUAGAGUUCCCUGAAUUUACUACAUUUCGAUUUGUGUAACCUUAUUACAAAAACAAGUCUUCAAUAUGAGUCCCUACUUUGUUGUUAUUGUUUAUAGGAAGAAUAAAUUAUGUGAAACUCAACUUUCUUAAGCACCCUAACUUUUGUGAAUUUAGAUUAAAAGGGAGUUUAGUUCACAAAAUGUUUGAUUAACCUGACAAUUAGUGCAUUACUAGAUAUGUUACAGUACCGCGUUUGGUUCAAGGUAAAAGUUGAAAUAAUUCUAGACUCAAAGAUAUUUGAUUAUGGGUUUGUUCUUAGUAUAUAGUAAAUGAGUAAAAAGUUUUGAUUAAAAAAACUUUAUGGAAUUAUUAAUAUCAUUAAUUAAACAGUUAAAAAUUUUAAAAUGAUUAAUGUCGACUCUUUUUAUAAAAUAUUCGGGUGGGGAUUAGUAUAAAUCUGUUAAAAAAUUUUAAUCAUCAUUCCACAUAAGCCAAGAUUAGUAUAAAUCUGUUUUAUACAUUUUGUUAUAAGAAAUCGUACAUAUUUUUGUUAUGUCAUAUAAAAGUAUACAUGUUAUAUGUUUUGAUUGACAUUGUAUCAUCUAAUUUUUAAUAGAAAUAGUGAGUUUAAAAUUUAAAGGGGUUAUUUUACUAUUUAAAUAAUGAAUUUAACCAUUUAACAUCUAUUGAGUUAUUUAGAAUUUCUUUCUUCGGUUUAAAUUGAUUAAUUUCAAUCAAAUAGAUGCAAAUGAAGAACCAAUUAAUAAGAAGAUAAAAUUUUGAAAAAAUAAGCAAAUUGGGAGGCCGGAAGCCAGCAUUAGAUAUAUAGCAAACAAUCACUUCAUUCAAAGCUCAUACUAUAUGGCAAUCCAAUUCUUAUAAAAAAUACAUACACACACUUAAUGAAAUUAGAUAUCUGGGCAAAGUGCAUUCCAUAGCUGAUUUGGUAAACCUACAUCAAGAAAAAAAAUGGUAUGUAUAUAUCAUCAUCUCUUAUGUAUAAUAAUUAAAAAUAUGAAAUCAUAAAAUGAUAUUAAAAAUUUAGUUUUUCUAGAAAUAUAUUCAAAAUUCUUAUUUUUUUUAUAUUUUAAUUAUAAUUUUUAUGGUAAUUAAAGAUAUAUUCUUCUAUUCCGUUAUUUUAUCAAUAUUAUAUCAAUCUCUAACUCUAUGGGUGAAAAAGAAAAGAAAAAAGAAUGUAAAAAUUAUUAUUUUAUAGAAAUAAAUACCUCACGUGAUGUUGGCUCCUAUUAUUUUGGAAUAAAUAAUGUGGAUAGAGGGAAUGUGGCGCACUUUAUAGAAUUCCUCUCCUUCUCUUCCAUCUAUCCCUUUAAUCCUUUCUUCCAACGACGAAGACAUUCCUCUUAAAUUCAAUUCUUGGAGAGUAGUAAUGUAGCUCAAUCCUUCUGGAAGCAUCCUUAAACUCUUAAUAUAGACCAACUCCAAUUCUCGAAGGCAUGGCAUUGCACCUUCUUCUAUUACCCACUCCUUCAACUGAGGUAAGCACCACAUAUGAAGAUAAUCAAGUUUAGGAAAUCCAUUUGCAGAGCACACCAUUUUACUCCCAAUAUAUGCGUCCUUCAAAUAGAGAAUCCUCAAAUGACAUAGCUUUUCUAAUACCGCAAUUGGAUCUUGUAUGAGCUUACAGUAAAACAAAGUUAAUUUGACAAUAUUUGAUGGAAGAAAGUUCAAAACAUGACCGUUCGGAUGUGGCUCAUCUUCUAUCCCACCCACUAGUUUCAGUUUGGAGAGGUGAUAAUAUUGAGAAAGGGGUUCUAAGUCUAGGUGUGAGACAUCAAAAAAACAUAAGGAUACUGACCUAAGGCGUUGCAAUUUGGCUAGCAAGAUUAGGGUAGGCUUCACAUAUUCUGCUCCGGUAAAUGCUAUUCCUAAACUCUGAAUAUUAGUCCACCUAAGCACCGCAUUAUUUUC